Non-coding RNA from Cinara cedri, 208 nucleotides. Lineage: Eukaryota; Metazoa; Arthropoda; Insecta; Hemiptera; Aphididae. The record is from the annotation of a GenBank genome assembly.
CAGCAUCAAUUAAUCAAUUACAUGGUUAUUAGCUUACAAUUAUUGUAGUUAGGCUUAAAUUAUAUUUUAUCGUGAAAAUAAUUUUAUUUAAGAAAGUGAUAAUUUGUUUGUUAUCAGCAUAUGGUCCAAUUGCUUCGUACAGGUUGUCUAGAAUUUGGUUGUCUUUUCUGGCAUCAAUGCAAAUUUGUCAGUAGAUGAUUAUGUGCUU